AAGUCGUAACAAGGUCUCCGUUGGUGAACCAGCGGAGGGAUCAUUACCGAGUUUACAACUCCCAAACCCCUGUGAACAUACCACUUAUUGCCUCGGCGGAUCAGCCCGCUCCCGGUAAAACGGGACGGCCCGCCAGAGGACCCCUAAACUCUGUUUCUAUAUGUAACUUCUGAGUAAAACCAUAAAUAAAUCAAAACUUUCAACAACGGAUCUCUUGGUUCUGGCAUCGAUGAAGAACGCAGCGAAAUGCGAUACGUAAUGUGAAUUGCAGAAUUCAGUGAAUCAUCGAAUCUUUGAACGCACAUUGCGCCCAUUAGUACUCUAGUGGGCAUGCCUGUUCGAGCGUCAUUUCAACCCUUAAGCCUAGCUUAGUGUUGGCUGCCUACUGUAUUGUAGUGGCCCAAAUCCAACGGCGGAUCUGUGGUAUCCUCUGAGCGUAGUAAUUUUUAUCUCGCUUUUGUUAGGUGCUGCAGCUCCCAGCCGCUAAACCCCCCAAUUUUUAAUGGUUGACCUCGGAUCAGGUAGGAAUACCCGCUGAACCUAA
Molecule: ribosomal RNA, 544 nt
Filed under: uncultured fungus
Lineage: Eukaryota; Fungi
Description: eukaryotic LSU rRNA
Rfam family: 5.8S ribosomal RNA (bases 195-348)
Source: RNAcentral